AGCCGGCUUGGGGCCCAGCAUACACAGGCCCCCAGGACCCCUGGGGAGAGGGCCCCGCUGGGCUGGCCCUGCAGGGACCAUGGAAUCCAGAGCUGAGAGGAUCCCCCCAUCCUGCGGCAGUUCCCUCCAGACUUCAGGGACCAGGAAGCUAUGCAGAUGGUGCCUAAAUUCUGCUUCCCUUUUGAUGUGGAAAGGGAGCCCCCCAGCCCCGCCGUGCAGCAUUUCACCUUCGCCCUCACAGACCUUGCCGGCAACCGCAGAUUUGGUUUCUGCCGCCUGCGGGCGGGUACCCAGAGCUGUCUCUGCAUCCUCAGCCACCUGCCUUGGUUCGAGGUGUUUUACAAGCUAUUGAACACAGUGGGAGACCUCCUAGCCCAGGGCCAAGUCACCGAGGCAGAGGAACUUCUUCAAAAUCUGUUUCAGCAGUCCCUGUCUGGGCCCCAGGCCUCAGUGGGGCUUGAGCUGGGCAGCGGAGUGACGGUCUCCAGCGGGCAGGGUAUCCCACCCCCUACCCGGGGGAAUAGCAAGCCGCUUUCCUGCUUCGUGGCCCCGGACUCCGGCCGCCUGCCAUCCAUCCCUGAGAACGAACCUAACGGAGCUGGUGGUGGCCGUGACUGACGAGAACAUCGUGGGGCUGUUCGCGGCGCUCCUGGCCGAGAGAAGAGUCCUGCUCACCGCCAGCAAACUCAGCACCGUGAGGCGGGGUCCGCCGGGCCGGGGUGGGAGCAGGGCCUGGCUCCGCCCCGGGGGGCGGGACAACGGGGCUGAUUCCUGGCUCUAACCCUACUGCGCGAGACCUGAGGGCGAAGUCCUGGCCCCGCCCCUUCGAAGGUCUUGGAGAGUUGAAUUCUGGCCCCGCCCUCGUGGGAGGGGGCUGCGCUGCAGCUCCUCCUUUUUGGGAGUACUGUGCUCAGGCUCCACCCACUAUGGGCCGCAACACGUCUGGCUCCACCCCUCCGGACUCUCAGGGACACUGAGAACUAGGGACUUAUACACAUGGGAAUCCAGGGACCCAGGGACUCAGGGACUCAGAGAUCUGAGGACCCAGG
RNAcentral lists this small RNA (1049 nucleotides) under Pan troglodytes (chimpanzee). RNAcentral's name for it is "retained intron". The record is from RNAcentral. Lineage: Eukaryota; Metazoa; Chordata; Mammalia; Primates; Hominidae.